GCGAGGGUGCCCAAGCGGCUAAGGGGAGCGGCUGCAACCCGCUUUAUCAUGGGUUCGAGUCCCAUCCCUCGCU
This 73-nucleotide transfer RNA is filed under the name Nanobdellota archaeon. Its description in RNAcentral is "tRNA-Cys". It matches the Rfam family "tRNA". Rfam says of the family: Transfer RNA (tRNA) molecules are approximately 80 nucleotides in length. Their secondary structure includes four short double-helical elements and three loops (D, anti-codon, and T loops). Lineage: Archaea; Nanobdellati; Nanobdellota. RNAcentral also lists the same sequence under 2 other names. The record is from RNAcentral.